GGAUGAUGUCUGGGGCCUCUUGGGUGGCCGCGAAGGUCCGGCCCCGGGCGUCGGUCUCUUUCUCGCCGCGUGCUGCCGAAUGUCGGCAUCUGUUAUUCUUACUCUCGACGGCAUGCCUGCAAUUUCGAUGAAAGAUUAGCACAAAUUCGAAGACGGAUGAAAAAGCCAAAAGAUAACCGAUAGAUCGAACUGUACCUAAGCGGGAAACUGAACUCAGACCGACGUCGUACAGAGCUUGCUUGGUGACGAGCUCUCUCUGCUUCGGCACCGACACAUCCUUUAGUCGGUGAAAGUCCUCUCGAUCUCCUGCCUCCAUCUGACUAUUUUCGUCCGACUGAGUUCGAGGGUCGUCCCAGUGAGAAGGAAACCCCCAGGAUAGUGAAAAAGAAGCAAAGAAAAAUUGGUUCUUCCAUC
RNAcentral lists this long non-coding RNA (414 nucleotides) under Elaeis guineensis (African oil palm). Its description in RNAcentral is "long non-coding RNA (EGUI_LNC000963)". Lineage: Eukaryota; Viridiplantae; Streptophyta; Magnoliopsida; Arecales; Arecaceae. The record is from RNAcentral.